RNAcentral lists this ribosomal RNA (2341 nucleotides) under human gut metagenome. Its description in RNAcentral is "bacterial LSU rRNA". It matches the Rfam family "Bacterial large subunit ribosomal RNA", at positions 443 to 2802 of the family's 2925-position model. The record is from RNAcentral.
UCCACCAGGACCAUCUGGUAAGGCUAAAUACUCCUCUGUGACCGAUAGUGAACCAGUACCGUGAGGGAAAGGUGAAAAGAACCCCGGGAGGGGAGUGAAAGAGAACCUGAAACCCUGCACUUACAAGCUGUAGGAGCACAUUAUUUGUGUGACUGCGUACUUUUUGUAGAACGGGCCAACGAGUUACGUUACCUAGCAAGGUUAAGCACUUAAGGUGUGGAGCCGCAGCGAAAGCGAGUCUUAACUGGGCGUAUAGUUAGUUGACGUAGACCCGAAACCGGGCGACCUAUCCAUGGGCAGGUUGAAGCGAAAGUAAAAUUUCGUGGAGGACCGAACCCACGUACGUUGAAAAGUGCGGGGAUGACUUGUGGAUAGCGGUGAAAUUCCAAUCGAGCCUGGAGAUAGCUGGUUCUCCCCGAAAUAGCUUUAGGGCUAGCCUCAAGCUUAGAGAAACGGAGGUAGAGCACUGAAUGUCCUAGGGGGUAUUGCACUUACCGAAGACUAUCAAACUCCGAAUGCCGUAUUCUUUUGCUUGGGAGUCAGACUAUGGGUGAUAAGAUUCAUAGUCAAGAGGGCAACAGCCCAGAUCGUCAGCUAAGGUCCCUAAAUGUAAGUUAAGUGGUAAAGGAUGUGGGAUUGCACAGACAACCAGGAUGUUGGCUUAGAAGCAGCCACUCAUUUAAAGAGUGCGUAAUAGCUCACUGGUCGAGUGAUCCUGCGCCGAAAAUUUCCGGGGCUAAAACGUACUACCGAAGCUACGGCAUCAUUUAUGAUGGGUAGGAGAGCUUUCUAUACGGAUUGAAGCAUUACCGUAAGGAGAUGUGGACUGUAUAGAAGUGAGAAUGUUGGCAUGAGUAGCGAGAUGUGGGUGAGAAUCCCACAGGCCGUAAACCCAAGGUUUCCAGGGGAAGGUUCGUCCGCCCUGGGUUAGUCAGGACCUAAGCCGAGGCCGAAAGGCGUAGGUGAUGGACAACAGGUUGAUAUUCCUGUACCACCAAUAACCGUUUGAGAAAUGGGAUGACACAGUAGGAUAAGCUAACCGCACUGUUGGUUAUGUGCGGGCAAGUAUUGAGGCAGUUCCGAUAGGCAAAUCCGUCGGAAUAAUGCUGGGGUACGAUGCGGAGCGAAAUUUAGUAGCGAAGUAGCUGAUUUCACACUGUCGAGAAAAGUCUCUAUCGAGGUUAAAGGUGCCUGUACCGCAAACCGACACAGGUGGGUGAGGAGAGUAUCCUAAGGCCAGCGAGAGAACUGUUGUUAAGGAACUCGGCAAAAUGACCCCGUAACUUAGGGAGAAGGGGUGCCUUCGAAAGAAGGCCGCAGAGAAUAGGCCCAAGCGACUGUUUACCAAAAACAUAGGUUUCUGCUAAGUCGCAAGACGAUGUAUAGGAGCUGACGCCUGCCCGGUGCUGGAAGGUUAAGGGGAUCUGUUAGAGCAAUCGAAGCAGUGAACUUAAGCCCCAGUAAACGGCGGCCGUAACUAUAACGGUCCUAAGGUAGCGAAAUUCCUUGUCGGGUAAGUUCCGACCCGCACGAAAGGCGUAACGAUUUGGGCACUGUCUCAACAACAGACUCGGUGAAAUUGUAAUACCGGUGAAGAUGCCGGUUACCUGCGACAGGACGGAAAGACCCCAUGGAGCUUUACUGUAGCUUGACAUUGAGUCUCGGUGCUACAUGUACAGGAUAGGUGGGAGACUAUGAAGCAUGGACGUCAGUCUGUGUGGAGUCAUCCUUGGGAUACCACCCUUGUAGUACUGGGAUUCUAACCAGAGGCCAUGAAUCUGGUCUUGGGACACUGUCAGGUGGACAGUUUGACUGGGGCGGUCGCCUCCCAAAAAGUAACGGAGGCGCUCAAAGGUUCUCUCAGUACGGUCGGAAAUCGUACGAAGAGUGUAAAGGCAAAAGAGAGCUUGAUUGCAAGACAUACAGGUCGAGCAAGGACGAAAGUCGGACUUAGUGAUCCGGUGGUUCCGCAUGGAAGGGCCAUCGCUCAACGGAUAAAAGCUACCCUGGGGAUAACAGGCUGAUCUCCCCCAAGAGUCCACAUCGACGGGGAGGUUUGGCACCUCGAUGUCGGCUCAUCACAUCCUGGGGCUGUAGUAGGUCCCAAGGGUUGGGCUGUUCGCCCAUUAAAGUGGUACGCGAGCUGGGUUCAGAACGUCGUGAGACAGUUCGGUCCCUAUCCGUCGCAGGCGUAGGAAAUUUGAGGAGACCUGUCCUUAGUACGAGAGGACCGGGAUGGACGUACCGCUGGUGUACCAGUUGUUCUGCCAAGGGCAUAGCUGGGUAGCUAAGUACGGAAAGGAUAAGCGCUGAAAGCAUCUAAGCGCGAAGCCUACUUCGA